AACGAACGCUGGUGGCAUGCCUAAUACAUGCAAGUCGAACGAGAAAGCACUUCGGUGUGAGUACAGUGGCGCGCGGGUGAGUAACGCGUAGGUGACGUGCCUUUAGUUGGGGACAACAUCGUGAAAACGGUGCUAAUACCGAAUAAGCUUAACGACCUUGGAAAAGUUAAGGAAAGGGGGCUUCGGCUCUCGCUGAAAGAUCGGCCUGCGUGACAUUAGCUUGAUGGUGGGGUAACGGCCUACCAUGGCGACGAUGUCUAACUGGUCUGAGAGGAUGAUCAGUCACACUGGAACUGAGACACGGUCCAGACUCCUACGGGAGGCAGCAGUAGGGAAUAUUGCACAAUGGGGGAAACCCUGAUGCAGCAAUGCCACGUGAGUGAGGAAGGCCUUCGGGUUGUAAAGCUCUGUCCUAUAGGAAGAACGGCAUUAUGGUUAAUACCCAUAGUGUUUGACGGUACUAUAGAAGAAAGCACCGGCUAACUCCGUG
This 490-nucleotide ribosomal RNA is filed under the name uncultured bacterium. Its description in RNAcentral is "bacterial SSU rRNA". It matches the Rfam family "Bacterial small subunit ribosomal RNA", at positions 29 to 507 of the family's 1533-position model. The record is from RNAcentral.